GACAGCUCAGUUGGUGGAGCAUGAGACUCUUAACAUCAGGGUUGUGGGUUCAAGCCCCAUGUUGGGCG
This is a non-coding RNA of Podarcis lilfordi (Lilford's wall lizard), 68 nucleotides long. The record is from the annotation of a GenBank genome assembly. Lineage: Eukaryota; Metazoa; Chordata; Lepidosauria; Squamata; Lacertidae.